RNAcentral lists this long non-coding RNA (683 nucleotides) under Amborella trichopoda. Its description in RNAcentral is "long non-coding RNA (ATRI_LNC001041)". Lineage: Eukaryota; Viridiplantae; Streptophyta; Magnoliopsida; Amborellales; Amborellaceae. The record is from RNAcentral.
AAUCAAAGAACAGAGUUCACAUAAUUUUUUCAUGAUUGCCUAUUUGAAUCUGAGAGGCUUUUGACUUUACUGAUGUGACUUCUUGUAGAAGCAAUUUACCAAAAAUGUAGGCAUUAAUCCCAAAGACACUUUUGAUGAACUUUUUGAAAUUGAGCAACCAUAAUAACUCACUAAGCAUCCAAAUAGGUUGGAAUUUUCUGCAUUCUGCGUGCCAAAAAAGAUAAAAUCUAUAAGUCUUUGUCUUGGUCUGAUAAAUAAUUGCAAACAACUCAUAGUCUUAAUUCAAUUGGAAUCCACAUUUGCAUAAAUGCCUCUCUUUAUUCCUAAUUUGAAUGAUUUUGUCAAAUUCCAAUUGAAGGUUAUGAACUUGCAAUGCUUAAUUGAAUUUGAUGAAUUAAAGCAUAUCUCCAAAUCCAUACAUGGCGCCCACAGGGUGAUGCAGAUAAAAAUUAGGAAAAAUUCAUAAUUAUAAUUUUAUUAUUCUUUGAAUUUAUCUUUUUAGGAAUGGGUAGCAUGAGGUUUUAGGAAAAGUAAAUCUUGGUGUAAGUUGGUUUUUUUUUAGCUUAUCUUAGAUUUAGUGAGAGAUUUAAGGUGAUUUAAAUAUGGGAAGGAUAUGGGGAGUAUGUAAAGAUUGGGGAGUUUCCUUGAUUCAAGGGACUCUACGUGAUGGGUAGAGAGACACG